GCCCAGACUCCUACGGGAGGCAGCAGUGGGGAAUAUUGCACAAUGGGGGAAACCCUGAUGCAGCGACGCCGCGUGAAGGACGAAGUAUUUCGGUACGUAAACUUCUAUCAGCAGGGAAGAAAAUGACGGUACCUGACCAAGAAGCCCCGGCUAACUACGUGCCAGCAGCCGCGGUAAUACGUAGGGGGCAAGCGUUAUCCGGAUUUACUGGGUGUAAAGGGAGCGUAGACGGUUAUGUAAGUCUGGAGUGAAAGCCCGGGGCCCAACCCCGGGACUGCUUUGGAAACUGUGUAACUGGAGUACAGGAGGGGCAGGCGGAAUUCCUGGUGUAGCGGUGAAAUGCGUAGAUAUCAGGAGGAACACUGGCGGCGAAGGCGGCCUGCUGGACUGAAACUGACGUUGAGGCUCGAAAGCGUGGGGAGCAAACAGGAUUAGAUACCCCAGUAG
RNAcentral lists this ribosomal RNA (447 nucleotides) under uncultured bacterium. RNAcentral describes it as "bacterial SSU rRNA". It matches the Rfam family "Bacterial small subunit ribosomal RNA", at positions 329 to 793 of the family's 1533-position model. The record is from RNAcentral.